AUAUUGGAGCAUUGAUUAUAGAACCAGUUAUUCAAGGUUCUGGCGGAAUGCUUAUGAUUGAUCCACUUUUCCAACGGGUACUUGUAAAUGAGUGCCGAAGUAGAAAUAUUCCAAUUAUAUUUGAUGAAGUCUUCACGGGUUUUUGGCGUCUCGGAGCAGAGAGCGCAGCAGAACUACUUGGUUGUGUACCAGAUAUAGCCUGCUUUGCAAAGCUGAUGACUGGGGGGAUUAUACCCUUGGCUGCCACAUUGGCUACAGAAGAAGUCUUUGAUUCAUUUAUUGGAGACUCAAAGCUCAAGG
Molecule: unclassified non-coding RNA, 300 nt
Filed under: Hevea brasiliensis (rubber tree)
Lineage: Eukaryota; Viridiplantae; Streptophyta; Magnoliopsida; Malpighiales; Euphorbiaceae
Source: RNAcentral